This 206-nucleotide ribosomal RNA is filed under the name uncultured bacterium. Its description in RNAcentral is "partial 16S ribosomal RNA". It matches the Rfam family "Bacterial small subunit ribosomal RNA", at positions 568 to 774 of the family's 1533-position model. The record is from RNAcentral.
UGCGUAGGUGGUUUCUUAAGUCAGAGGUGAAAGGCUACGGCUCAACCGUAGUAAGCCUUUGAAACUGGGAAACUUGAGUGCAGGAGAGGAGAGUGGAAUUCCUAGUGUAGCGGUGAAAUGCGUAGAUAUUAGGAGGAACACCAGUUGCGAAGGCGGCUCUCUGGCCUGUAACUGACACUGAGGCUCGAAAGCGUGGGGAGCAAACA